RNAcentral lists this long non-coding RNA (231 nucleotides) under Durio zibethinus. Its description in RNAcentral is "long non-coding RNA (DZIB_LNC001548)". The record is from RNAcentral. Lineage: Eukaryota; Viridiplantae; Streptophyta; Magnoliopsida; Malvales; Malvaceae.
AAGAGGUGAAAUUCCUUUAUGCUAUUCUUGACUUGUCAAUGAUCGACAUAAACAAACUUCAAUCUCAACAGGUCAUAGCACCAUCUGAAGAGGUCCAGGAGAAAGAGGACCAGGAAAUUGAGGCCAUUCUAAAUGCUACUUUUAAGGUUGAGCAAAAGAAAAAGUCUAGGGAGAGUCCAAGUUAGUGAGAUUGAAACAAAAGUUCUUAAGGAGCAACUUGAGAAAGGCAUU